ACUAGGAUGGGUGACCUCCC
Molecule: non-coding RNA, 20 nt
Filed under: Arabidopsis thaliana (thale cress)
Lineage: Eukaryota; Viridiplantae; Streptophyta; Magnoliopsida; Brassicales; Brassicaceae
Source: RNAcentral